GGCUCAGGAUGAACGCUGGCGGCGUGCUUAACACAUGCAAGUCGAACGAACAUUCGGGUUAGUGGCGGACGGGUGAGUAACGCGUGAGAAUCUGCCCUCAGGAGGGGGAUAACGGUUGGAAACGACCGCUAAUACCCCAUAUGCCGAUAGGUGAAAUGAAUUUCGCCUGAGGAUGAGCUCGCGUCUGAUUAGCUUGUUGGUGAGGUAAUGGCUCACCAAGGCUUCGAUCAGUAGCUGGUCUGAGAGGAUGAUCAGCCACACUGGGACUGAGACACGGCCCAGACUCCUACGGGAGGCAGCAGUGGGGAAUUUUCCGCAAUGGGCGAAAGCCUGACGGAGCAACGCCGCGUGAGGGACGAAGGCCUCUGGGCUGUAAACCUCUUUUCUCAAGGAAGAAGAUAUGACGGUACUUGAGGAAUAAGCCACGGCUAAUUCCGUGCCAGCAGCCGCGGUAAUACGGGAGUGGCAAGCGUUAUCCGGAAUUAUUGGGCGUAAAGCGUCCGCAGGCGGCCUUUCAAGUCUGCUGUUAAAGCGUGGAGCUUAACUCCAUUAUGGCAGUGGAAACUGAUCGGCUUGAGUAUGGUAGGGGCAGAGGGAAUUCCCGGUGUAGCGGUGAAAUGCGUAGAUAUCGGGAAGAACACCAGUGGCGAAGGCGCUCUGCUGGGCCAUUACUGACGCUCAUGGACGAAAGCCAGGGGAGCGAAAGGGAUUAGAUACCCCUGUAGUCCUGGCCGUAAACGAUGAACACUAGGUGUCGGGGGAAUCGACCCCUUCGGUGUCGUAGCUAACGCGUUAAGUGUUCCGCCUGGGGAGUACGCACGCAAGUGUGAAACUCAAAGGAAUUGACGGGGGCCCGCACAAGCGGUGGAGUAUGUGGUUUAAUUCGAUGCAACGCGAAGAACCUUACCAGGGUUUGACAUCCUGAGAACCUCUUAGAAAUUAGAGGGUGCCUUCGGGAAUUCAGUGACAGGUGGUGCAUGGCUGUCGUCAGCUCGUGUCGUGAGAUGUUGGGUUAAGUCCCGCAACGAGCGCAACCCACGUUUUUAGUUGCCAGCAUUUAGUUGGGCACUCUAGAAAGACCGCCGGUGAUAAACCGGAGGAAGGUGUGGAUGACGUCAAGUCAUCAUGCCCCUUACACCCUGGGCUACACACGUACUACAAUGCUACGGACAAAGGGCAGCAAACUCGCGAGAGCUAGCAAAUCCCAUAAACCGUGGCUCAGUUCAGAUCGUAGGCUGCAACUCGCCUACGUGAAGUAGGAAUCGCUAGUAAUCGCAGGUCAGCAUACUGCGGUGAAUACGUUCCCGGGCCUUGUACACACCGCCCGUCACACCAUGGAAGUUGGCCAUGCCCGAAGUCGUUACUCCAACCCUUGUGGAGGAGGACGCCGAAGGUGGGGCUAAUGACUGGGGUGAAGUCGUAACAAGGUAGCCGUACCGGAAGGUGCGGCUGGAUCACCUCCU
RNAcentral lists this ribosomal RNA (1463 nucleotides) under Prochlorococcus marinus subsp. pastoris str. PCC 9511. Its description in RNAcentral is "16S ribosomal RNA". It matches the Rfam family "Bacterial small subunit ribosomal RNA". Lineage: Bacteria; Bacillati; Cyanobacteriota; Cyanophyceae; Synechococcales; Prochlorococcaceae. The record is from RNAcentral.